Molecule: long non-coding RNA, 2626 nt
Filed under: Mus musculus (house mouse)
Lineage: Eukaryota; Metazoa; Chordata; Mammalia; Rodentia; Muridae
Description: predicted gene, 20744
Source: RNAcentral
GGCUUCCCUUUGGAGAUCCUUGGAACACCACAAUUAUGUCUCAGGCAGAACAAGAUCCUUCAGGCUGGAAGCACUGCCCUCUGUCCUGGCCCUGGUCUAUGGCUGCAGCCCCUAGGCUCAGAAGGGCUUGGCAGAAUUGUUGCUGAAACUGAGACCUGUUGUCCAGAAGGUGUCCUGGGGGCCAACCCCAAGGAAUGCACAGCCUCCUGGAAGGGAAAAUGUUUCAUAUAUCAAACCCAACAAUAUUUGAAGAUACAAUUAGCAGGUGACUCGUAGGACAAGAAUAUGUCUGCACCUCUUACUGGAAGAUCCCCGGUGUCUUCAGUGGAGGGGGAAGGGAUAUCAGCUUAUGAGAAGCAGCUCCACCUCGGAAGAACUUUCUGGAGGAGCCUCACACUGGCUCUAGUUUGCAAGUGUGAACCAGAGAAGCACAAAGUUGACUGAAGUUAUCUGGACACCUCCCCUGCUGUGACUGCCUAGGGCCUCUGAUAACCCCCGGAUUCCCAAGGACCCCUGGAAUUCUUUCUUGUCAGGAAAACACACCCCUCCAUGCUCUGGAGGACCUAUGAGCCUGAUGUUUCUGGAAUGGUACCAAGCACACUCAGGCUCAAAUUCAGGUUCAAGAUUCAGCUCCCUCUUGCAGCCAGAGGAGAUAAAAGAACCAAGACAGGAGAGAUAAUCUAAGUGUGCAGUCGUGGCUUGGCUUAUCUUUAUUUAUUUUAAAAAGACUUAUCUUGGAUACUGGAGCUUAAAUUUUUAAAGUCUGCUGCAGGGUUCUGGCUUGGACUCUGGUGUGCAAAAUACAUGUGGGGGUAGGCUGUGGUACCAGGGUGGAAAGUCAUCAUCUUAUGGGAUGUGAGGGAAAGGUGACUGUGAGCCUCCUGAGACCAUCUUUGUGACUGGGAUUCUGUGUGUAGGGAGGGGGCUGCAGCUAAAAACGCUGAACUUAAAAGCAAACAGGGCAUUACCACUAGCAUGGCAAACACUGGGAAAAUGAGCUUCUUGUCAGAGAGUCAGGUCGCACAGGCGACCAUGAUCUUGCCUCUGCUUCCUUCCGUCUUUCUCCUGGGCACUGUUCAGUCCUUUAUGUGAGAUGUAUUAGGAGGGGCAGUUCCUACUCCUGACUAUCUAUUUCAGCUUCUUAACUUAGAGUUAAAUUCAUAAUGUGUUUGCUCAAGGGUCAUCUUUAUCCAAUGUGUUUACUUUGCAAAACAUGCUGGAGAGGAUUUGGAGGUGUGUGAUGCCCCAGAGAAAGUUACCCUUUCUGUUUAAUCUCUGCUCAGGGUCAAGGAAUAGAACGCCCAACUCAGAAUACCUCAGAUAAUAAGGAGAUUUAUUGACUCUUAGGACUCAAAGACCAGAAGCAGAGUGGCCUUCCCAGCCGCUCUGAUUUGGUGGCUUAUGAGCAAGCAGUGAGCCAGGUUCUUAGAUUCUCCCGACUCCAUUCUCUCUGGAAACUCCACCCCGAGCAAACGUGAUCUCUCCUGGUAUAGCAAAAUGGCUGCCUUCACAUAUGCCUACCAGGCCCUCUGAGGGAUGAGUGAGAUCUCUUUCACAAGGGCUGGCACAAGAGAGGGAGAACAUUUGCAUUUUUCAGAAGCCUCUCACUUUGUGUCUCAGAUAAUGAGUUGAGUUACAUGCCCAGGGAGAAUGCUACAGGUUGGCUGGAUCGGUCAACCAGGGUGGGGGGUCCUGGACAAAAGACUCACAGGGCUGCUCUACAGAUGAGAGUGGGGAGAAGUGGGUGAGGAGGGCUGUACCAUACCCACCCUCUGCGGUCCACUCAGGUUUUUUGGAUGGAUGGGAAAGGCACAGAGCUGCAGGUGGCUGUGACUCUUGCCUAGGAGCUGCCUCUGUAGACUCUGUUCCCCUCCCCAGUGCCUUGUGUAGCAAGGCCAGCUGUUCCUACUGAGCACGGGAGGGUGAGUGAAUGAGUUUUCAGAGAUCAGGGAGACAUUGACCAUCCAUUCCCCUCUGCUUUUCUCAGAGGCUCACAUCAAGAAGCCUAAGUCACUCUUAGGUCAGUGGCUACAAGGGGCUGGAUAUUAAUAAAAUCCCCGGAAGGAAAGGAGAAGAUCUUUAAGAUAUUUGGUGUAAGACAGCCUGGUUGUCCAUUUUGCACAUGACAUGUAAUGUUCAUAGUAAUGUGUCAUGGUUAAUUUGAUUGUCAACUUGACAUGACUUAGAGCCACCUUGGAACGGAGGCUCAGUGAGGGACCCUUGGCAUGUCUCCGAGGGACUAUUGUGAUUGCUUUCAUUGAUGUGGGAAGAGUCAGUCUGAACAUGUGUAGCUCCCUGAUUUGGAGCCUGGACUAUAUAAGAGUAGAGAAAGCUAGCUGAGCACUAAGCAUACAGACAUCACCCUGUCUGCUAUUGACUGUGGCUAUAAGACAAGCUGCUUCAGGCUCCUGCUGCCGUGACUUAUCCACAAAGAUGGACUAGAAUCCGGAAGUGUAAACUAAAAUAAAGCCCUUCUCACUAUGUUCGUUGCCCCCCCCCCUUCCCUCCACAGCUGGGUUAGCAUCUAUGGGUCUCAGAUAUACUUAAAGAUUUUAAAUGAUCUGCUGGAGGGUCGGGUCUCACCUGGCUUGCCAUGUGUCAUGUGAGUAAAAGUCAUUGAGUCACC